GGUCUGGUGGUCUAGUGGUAUGAUUCUCGCUUAGGGUACACCCUAUUCCCAGUAAGCUGGUCCUUGAAGACUGGCGCGCAUGCGAGAGGUCCCGGGUUCAAUCCCCGGCCAGACCC
Xylaria sp. FL0064 is the source of this 116-nucleotide non-coding RNA. The record is from the annotation of a GenBank genome assembly. NCBI's taxonomy places the organism in Eukaryota, Fungi, Ascomycota, Sordariomycetes, Xylariales, Xylariaceae.